Molecule: non-coding RNA, 56 nt
Organism: Salmo salar (Atlantic salmon)
Lineage: Eukaryota; Metazoa; Chordata; Actinopteri; Salmoniformes; Salmonidae
Source: Rfam
UGCAUUCACUACUGUAAGUCGCUCUGGAUAAGAGCGUCUGCUAAAAAUGACUCAAA